RNAcentral lists this ribosomal RNA (484 nucleotides) under uncultured bacterium. Its description in RNAcentral is "partial 16S ribosomal RNA". It matches the Rfam family "Bacterial small subunit ribosomal RNA", at positions 28 to 523 of the family's 1533-position model. The record is from RNAcentral.
GACGAACGCUGGCGGCGUGCUUAACACAUGCAAGUCGAACGAUGAAGCCGGAGCUUGCUCUGGUGAAUUAGUGGCGAACGGGUGAGUAACACGUGAGUAACCUGCCCUUGACUCUGGGAUAACUGCGGGAAACUGUAGCUAAUACCGGAUACGACCCUCGGAGGCAUCUCCUGGGGGUGGAAAGAAUUUCGGUCGAGGAUGGACUCGCGGCCUAUCAGCUAGUUGGUGAGGUAAAGGGUCACCAAGGCGACGACGGGUAGCCGGCCUGAGAGGGUGACCGGCCACACUGGGACUGAGACACGGCCCAGACUCCUACGGGAGGCAGCAGUGGGGAAUAUUGCACAAUGGGCGCAAGCCUGAUGCAGCAACGCCGCGUGAGGGAUGACGGCCUUCGGGUUGUAAACCUCUUUUAGCAGGGAAGAAGCGAAAGUGACGGUACCUGCAGAAAAAGCACCGGCUAACUACGUGCCAGCCGCCGCAGUAA